CCUACGUGAGGCUGCAGUGAGGAAUAUUGGUCAAUGGGCGCGAGCCUGAACCAGUCAAGUAGCGUGAAGGAUGACUGCCCUACGGGUUGUAAACUUCUUUUAUCAAGGAAUAAAGUGAGGCACGUGUGCCUUUUUGUAUGUACUUUAUGAAUAAAGAUCGGCUAACUCCGUGCCAGCAGCCGCGGUAAUACGGGGGAUCCGAGCGUUAUCCGGAUUUAUUGUGUUUAAAGGGAGCGUAGAUGGGUUGUUAAGUCAGUUGUGAAAGUUUGCGGCUCAACCGUAAAAUUGCAAUUGAUACUGGCAGCCGUGAGUACAGUUGAGGUAGGCGGAAUUCGUGGUGGAGCGGUGAAAUGCUUAGAUAUCACGAAGAACUCCGAUUGCGAAGGUAGCCUACUAAACUGCCACUGACAUUGAUGCUCGAAAGUGUGGGUAUCAAACAGGAUUAGAUACCCUUGUAGUC
This 460-nucleotide ribosomal RNA is filed under the name uncultured bacterium. Its description in RNAcentral is "partial 16S ribosomal RNA". It matches the Rfam family "Bacterial small subunit ribosomal RNA", at positions 338 to 795 of the family's 1533-position model. The record is from RNAcentral.